RNAcentral lists this long non-coding RNA (202 nucleotides) under Elaeis guineensis (African oil palm). Its description in RNAcentral is "long non-coding RNA (EGUI_LNC007447)". Lineage: Eukaryota; Viridiplantae; Streptophyta; Magnoliopsida; Arecales; Arecaceae. The record is from RNAcentral.
UUAUCCCUUCUCAGUCAUUACAGAAUAACGAAGCCUGCAGUGAACUAUUAUGAUUUGUUAGGAUUUCUGUAGACUUUUAAGAAGGACCACCAACUCCAAAAAGAACCGAUGAAUUUAGUUAAAGGUUUAUCUGCAGGCCAUCGAUCCUCUAGGAGAGAAACGAAGAAGAAGGUGCAGAAAUUCUGAGCCGUCAAUCCUAAGC